Molecule: transfer RNA, 72 nt
Filed under: Phrynosoma platyrhinos (Desert horned lizard)
Lineage: Eukaryota; Metazoa; Chordata; Lepidosauria; Squamata; Phrynosomatidae
Description: tRNA-OTHER
Source: RNAcentral
GCUAGCAUGACAUAGUGGUUUGAGUGUUGGAUUAUGACUCUGGAGACCAGGUUUCAAUUCCCUGCUCAACCA